RNAcentral lists this ribosomal RNA (497 nucleotides) under uncultured bacterium. RNAcentral describes it as "partial 16S ribosomal RNA". It matches the Rfam family "Bacterial small subunit ribosomal RNA", at positions 28 to 507 of the family's 1533-position model. The record is from RNAcentral.
GAUGAACGCUGGCGGCGUGCCUAAUACAUGCAAGUCGAGCGAACAGACGAGGAGCUUGCUCCUCUGACGUUAGCGGCGGACGGGUGAGUAACACGUGGAUAACCUACCUAUAAGACUGGGAUAACUUCGGGAAACCGGAGCUAAUACCGGAUAAUAUAUUGAACCGCAUGGUUCAAUAGUGAAAGACGGUUUUGCUGUCACUUAUAGAUGGAUCCGCGCCGCAUUAGCUAGUUGGUAAGGUAACGGCUUACCAAGGCAACGAUGCGUAGCCGACCUGAGAGAGUGAUCGGCCACACUGGAACUGAGACACGGUCCAGACUCCUACGGGAGGCAGCAGUAGAGAAUCUUCCGCAAUGGGGGAAAGCCUGACGGAGCAACGCCGCGUGAGUGAUGAAGGUCUUCGGAUCGUAAAACUCUGUUAUUAGGGAAGAACAAAUGUGUAAGUAACUAUGCACGUCUUGACGGUACCUAAUCAGAAAGCCACGGCUAACUACGUG